RNAcentral lists this long non-coding RNA (1355 nucleotides) under Fukomys damarensis (Damara mole-rat). RNAcentral describes it as "lncRNA (ENSFDAG00000029021.1)". Lineage: Eukaryota; Metazoa; Chordata; Mammalia; Rodentia; Bathyergidae. The record is from RNAcentral.
AUGGCAGCCCCAGCCCUGCUCCAGCCUCGCCCUGUGCCUCAGGUGGAGACGGUGGAAGACAGAUGCCGGAGCAUCCAUCCCGACCCUGGCACUCGAGUUUCCGCGUGGCGUGAUGCACCCGUGCUCCUGCAGACGGCGGCGGUCAGCCAGCUUGUUGGCCGCCCUGCGGUGAAUCAGCAGUGUCACUCCAUGGGCACCACUGUGCUCUGCCGUGACCCGACUCAGCUCACCUGGGACCGUGGGCUGGGCCGGGCCUGCUCUCUGCAUGCUGCUGGGCUUUCAGCAAGGCUGACGGGGUCUGGGGCCACGAAGCUCGGGGAUCAGACGGGGAGCGAGGUGGGGAGGGAGUCUGGGAGCUGUGGGUGGGCAUGCAUGGCACUUUUUCUCUGCCUCAGAGCCAGGAUGUGCCAGCCAGCUUGACUGGGUCACAUGGCUCACCAUACUGUCAGGGACCUGGCAGAGAUCUUAACCUGCAGGUGCUGGGUGCUCCCUGCCAACCUCCCAGCAUCAGACCCUCGGCCAUCGCCACUGUUGUGGGUGACAGAGGGAUGGGCAACUUGCAAGGUGGGAGCUGAGGUGGAGCUGGGCGCUGGUAUCUGUGCUUCUUAGAAAUGUGUGGCAUUUCUGGACACUGCUCCCGCAGACACUACUCGCUCCUGUGCCAGUCACAUGACCUAUGCCAGCAAGGUCCCUGCCCGUCCAGUCCACAGUGGCCUGGAGCCCAGAGCACGGAGGGGCAGAGGAGUGGCACUAAGUGUGUGCACUGCACACAGAGAGCUCAGGGACCUCUCGUCCUUCCUUUUGGGCCCUGAGCUGACACCAGGUCCAGGGGUGCAGUGACCAGAGGGGUCUGUGAGCUCCACUGCACAGCACCCAUUGGCUUUAGGAGAGGCGAAGGGGUAGGGUGAGGAGGAUGGAGGCAGAGGAUGGCACCAGAGAAGACACGAUAUCCAUCUUAGCCCUGAGGUUCCCCAGCCUCGCACCCAACUCCCUGUCUCUAAGGAGGUAAGUUCUCAGCCAGUGUGCCCAACGGGCUCCCCACCACCCCACAGGGCCCUGCUUUGUUAACCUCUCCAGGCGCUGUAAGUGCAGAGGUGAUUCUUGGGCCGCCGUUGUCAGACCUCAGCGUCCCUAGGGCCCCUCAAUGUGGAAGAAGGGCACGUGCUGGGCUCAGAAUUAGACUUGCAGCACGGCCUGGAUCAGGAGGUCACUUGUAGGAAGACCCUUCAAGUCUGGAGAAACUCAUCCUUGAGGCCACUUUUCCUGAGGGAGGGAGGAGCUGCCACAGGCCCCCAGGAACUCAGCUCCUGUGGAGGCGGCUCUGCUUGGGGCUCAGGACACGCAGGAUACACCAG